This 372-nucleotide ribosomal RNA is filed under the name uncultured bacterium. Its description in RNAcentral is "partial 16S ribosomal RNA". It matches the Rfam family "Bacterial small subunit ribosomal RNA", at positions 338 to 707 of the family's 1533-position model. The record is from RNAcentral.
CCUACGGGCGGCAGCAGUGAGGAAUAUUGGUCAAUGGGCGCAAGCCUGAACCAGCCAAGUCGCGUGAGGGAUGACGGUCCUAUGGAUUGUAAACCUCUUUUGUCGGGGAGCAAGGCCCGCCACGUGUGGCGGGAAGGAGAGUACCCGCAGAAAAAGCAUCGGCUAACUCCGUGCCAGCAGCCGCGGUAAUACGGGGGAUGCGAGCGUUAUCCGGAUUUAUUGGGUUUAAAGGGUGCGGAGGCGGAAGGUUAAGUCAGCGGUCAACUGUCGGUGCUCAACACCGGCCUGCCGUUGAAACUGGUCAUCGUGAGUGAGCGAGAAGUAUGCGGAAGUCGUGGUGUAGCGGUGAAAUGCAUAGGUAGCACGCAGAAC